This 71-nucleotide transfer RNA is filed under the name Lepidosiren paradoxa (South American lungfish). RNAcentral's name for it is "tRNA-Ile". It matches the Rfam family "tRNA". From Rfam's summary of the family: Transfer RNA (tRNA) molecules are approximately 80 nucleotides in length. Their secondary structure includes four short double-helical elements and three loops (D, anti-codon, and T loops). The record is from RNAcentral. Lineage: Eukaryota; Metazoa; Chordata; Ceratodontiformes; Lepidosirenidae.
GGAAGCAUGCCUGAGAUAAAGGGCUACCUUGAUAGGGUAAAUAACGGAGGUUAAACUCCUCCUGCUUCUUA